GAUGAACGCUGGCGGCGUGCCUAAUACAUGCAAGUCGAGCGAACAGACGAGGAGCUUGCUCCUCUGACGUUAGCGGCGGACGGGUGAGUAACACGUGGAUAACCUACCUAUAAGACUGGGAUAACUUCGGGAAACCGGAGCUAAUACCGGAUAAUAUAUUGAACCGCAUGGUUCAAUAGUGAAAGACGGUUGUGCUGUCACUUAUAGAUGGAUCCGCGCCGCAUUAGCUAGUUGGUAAGGUAACGGCUUACCAAGGCAACGAUGCGUAGACGACCUGAGAGGGUGAUAGGCCACCCUGGAACUGAGCCACGCUCCAGACUCCUACGGGAGGCAGCAGUAGGGAAUCUUCCGCAAUGGGCGAAAGCAUGACGGAGCAACGCCGCGUGAGUGAUGACGGUCUUCGGAUCGUAAAACUCUGUUAUUAGGGAAGAACAAAUGUGUAAGUAACUAUGCACGUCUUGACGGUACCUAAUCAGAAAGCCACGGCUAACUACGUG
Molecule: ribosomal RNA, 497 nt
Filed under: uncultured bacterium
Lineage: Bacteria
Description: partial 16S ribosomal RNA
Rfam family: Bacterial small subunit ribosomal RNA
Source: RNAcentral